This 253-nucleotide ribosomal RNA is filed under the name uncultured bacterium. Its description in RNAcentral is "partial 16S ribosomal RNA". It matches the Rfam family "Bacterial small subunit ribosomal RNA", at positions 524 to 776 of the family's 1533-position model. The record is from RNAcentral.
UACGUAGGUGGCAAGCGUUGUCCGGAUUUACUGGGCGUAAAGGGUGCGUAGGCGGACAUUUAAGUCAGAUGUGAAAUACCCGAGCUUAACUUGGGUGCUGCAUUUGAAACUGGGAGUCUAGAGUGCAGGAGAGGUAAGUGGAAUUCCUAGUGUAGCGGUGAAAUGCGUAGAGAUUAGGAAGAACACCAGUGGCGAAGGCGACUUACUGGACUGUAACUGACGCUGAGGCAUGAAAGCGUGGGGAGCAAACAGG